AUUUCGUUUGAUUUGCUUUGUUCUCAUGCUUUGCACAUGAUGGUAACUUGGAUUUUGAUUGGGCAGGUGCCUUUCUCACUUGAGGACCCGGAUUACAAGGGCCUUGAGCUAGAUCUGAUGGUGUUCUGCGAGAAGCAUGGGAAGCCAUCAGAGGGGCUUGUUGCAUUUGAAGGAACAAUGACUGGGAGAAGGUUCUUAGCAUGUGCAGAGCUGGAAGGUCAGAAUUGUGGGUUUGUUCAGUGGGCUGAUGAGCAGUGGCCCCCAACAGUGGAGAAUGCAUUGUUGAAGCUUUGGUCAAUGGUUGAAGAGAGCAAGUGUGCUAGGGUGAAUGAUAAUCUUGAAAGUGCUUUAACUAUUCACCAGUUGACAGAAGAAAAGAACAAGCUGGAUGCAGACUAUGACAAGUUAGUGAAAGAUGUGCAUCAACUUGUGGAUAUGCAGGAGGAUAGGGUUGUGGAUUUCAGUUAUCUACAGUCCAACAUCACAUAUCAGCAGCAAUGCAGAGUUGAAUUGGUUGCUGGUAUGAAAGUAGAAAAGGCAAAGAAAGAUGCAGAUUCAGAGAAGCUUCAAUAG
This 573-nucleotide ribosomal RNA is filed under the name Triticum aestivum (bread wheat). RNAcentral describes it as "partial small subunit ribosomal RNA". Lineage: Eukaryota; Viridiplantae; Streptophyta; Magnoliopsida; Poales; Poaceae. The record is from RNAcentral.